CGCGGCCUAUCAGCUUGUUGGUGAGGUAACGGCUCACCAAGGCAUUGACGGGUAGCUGGUCUGAGAGGACGAUCAGCCACACUGGGACUGAGACACGGCCCAGACUCCUACGGGAGGCAGCAGCAGGGAAUUUUGCACAAUGAGCGCAAGCUUGAUGCAGCGACGCCGCGUGGGGGAUGAAUGCCUUCGGGUUGUAAGCCCCUUUCAGGAGGGACGAAGCGAAAGUGACGGUACCUCCAGAAGAAGCCCCGGCCAACUACGUGCCAGCAGCCGCGGUAAUACGUAGGGGGCGAGCGUUGUCCGGAUUUAUUGGGCGUAAAGAGCUCGUAGGCGGCUCAGCAAGUCGGCCGUGAAAACCCGGGGCCCAACCCCGGGACGCCGGUCGAAACUGCUGUGGCUAGGGUCCGGUAGAGGAGAGUGGAAUUCCCGGUGUAGCGGUGAAAUGCGCAGAUAUCGGGAGGAACACCAGUAGCGAAGGCGGCUCUCUGGGCCGGCACCGACGCUGAGGAGCGAAAGCUAGGGGAGCAAACAGGAUUAGAUACCCUGGUAGUCCUAGCCGUAAACGUUGGGUACUAGGUGUGGCGGAGUCAUUGACCUCUGCCGUGCCGAAGCUAACGCAUUAAGUACCCCGCCUGGGGAGUACGG
This 645-nucleotide ribosomal RNA is filed under the name uncultured actinomycete. Its description in RNAcentral is "bacterial SSU rRNA". It matches the Rfam family "Bacterial small subunit ribosomal RNA", at positions 232 to 885 of the family's 1533-position model. Lineage: Bacteria; Bacillati; Actinomycetota; Actinomycetes; Actinomycetales. The record is from RNAcentral.